CCUCAACGCCCGCGACUUGGCCGAUGGCGCCUGCAGCAGAGGUCGAUAGUCGCGUCGAAGGGUAUCUGGGCGGGCUGGCGGAGCAGCGAGAGUGGGACUCACUCUUCAGCUUUCAGGGAUGGUUCGGGAUCUCGAACGCUGCAGACUUGACGGGCUGUGUGA
Molecule: unclassified non-coding RNA, 162 nt
Filed under: Rhodotorula toruloides
Lineage: Eukaryota; Fungi; Basidiomycota; Microbotryomycetes; Sporidiobolales; Sporidiobolaceae
Source: RNAcentral